GGGGAUGUCAUGGUUUCGACGGGGAGUCCUUAAUAUUAGACAGCAAGUAGUAGUCGCCUAGUCUACUUUAAAAGAGGCACAAAUUAAAUGCUAACAAAGUAGCAAAAUCAAAUGUAGUAAGCUUCCCAGCUCCUGCAUUUGCAAUGGCAGCCUAGAGUAGCCACGGUGCUUGAUAGAAUGCUUUGACUAUCAAAUCAUUGGAAUAUAAAAAGCCACUGGAUUAGUUUUGUGACAACCGAACCUAAUCAACACAAUAUUGUCAGCAAGAGUUUUGGUCUUGCUAAAUUGUACCAAAACUUCCAAGAGCCAAACAAUAUAGCUAAACUUGUAGAAUCUUUUAAUUAUUACUUUUCGGAAAGGGGUUCGACUCCCCUCAUCUCCACCA
Molecule: transfer-messenger RNA, 385 nt
Filed under: Clostridiales bacterium
Lineage: Bacteria; Bacillati; Bacillota; Clostridia; Eubacteriales
Rfam family: transfer-messenger RNA
About the family: Bacterial tmRNA, also known as 10Sa RNA or SsrA, is named for its dual tRNA and mRNA-like properties. Its role is to liberate the mRNA from a stalled ribosome. To accomplish this part of the tmRNA is used as a reading frame that ends in a translation stop signal.
Source: RNAcentral